This is a long non-coding RNA of Wyeomyia smithii (pitcher-plant mosquito), 636 nucleotides long. RefSeq lists it as uncharacterized. The record is from RefSeq and is a predicted model, not a curated record. NCBI's taxonomy places the organism in Eukaryota, Metazoa, Arthropoda, Insecta, Diptera, Culicidae. The transcript has 3 exons.
CUUACUCACCCCAAGUUUCAUAAUUGAAACACAAGCCUACAUUCGCAAUCGCAUAGAUGAAAAUAAAAAAAUGUCGACUCUUAUAAUGGAUUUUCCUGUUUGACGUCGUCGUAAACUGGUUUACUACCAUUUUGAACAAUGCACUGGAAUAGAAGCAAAAUCACUAGAAAACUACUUUCUAAUGAAGAGACAAAAAAUUAUCAGUUUUUCUAAAAAGCGACCAAAAAAGUUACACCUCACAGAGGCGUGUACGGACAUCCAAAUCUUUCAAUUUUUAUGCAGUCUUGUUGAGGAUGAAUGGAGUGAGCUCCUGUGUGUCAAAGAGUUAGGAACACGCUUGGAAGGCAUCGUGACUUAUUCACCAAGCCCUAUGUUGGUUGAAAUAGAUAUGGGCAAUACAAGUAUGUAUUACGUAUAUGCAGAAGAAACGCGUUUAUCAGAAGGAACAGCGCAAACCAAAUGUGCCUUAAUGGAUCUACUGGCCGUUUACUACGUGCAUAAUUUUAUGUAUAAAAAAACAAUUUCGAAGUUUUUGGAAUUUAUUCAACAAUAUUUUUGUAAAAUAAUAUCAUUCGAAGGAUCAAAGUCUCAAGCUGUCAGAAUUGGGCGACAACAACGCAUUGUUAACAAAAUAAU